Oncorhynchus keta (chum salmon) is the source of this 150-nucleotide long non-coding RNA. RefSeq lists it as uncharacterized. The record is from RefSeq and is a predicted model, not a curated record. The transcript is spliced from 3 exons. NCBI's taxonomy places the organism in Eukaryota, Metazoa, Chordata, Actinopteri, Salmoniformes, Salmonidae.
GAUAACUGUAUGUGUUGUCAGGUAAACUGAUAGAUAACUGUAUGUGUUGUCAGGUAAACUGAUAGAUAACUGUGUGUGUUGUCAGGUAAACUGAUAGAUAACUGUGUGUGUUGUCAGGUAAACUGAUAGAUAACUGUAUGUGUUGUCAGG